CUAGCGACUUCAGAGUUUGAUCCUGGCUCAGAUUGAACGCUGGCGGCAUGCCUUACACAUGCAAGUCGAACGGUAACGGAUCCUUCGGGAUGCCGACGAGUGGCGAACGGGUGAGUAAUACAUCGGAACGUGCCUGGUAUGGGGGAUAACUACUCGAAAGAGUGGCUAAUACCGCAUGAGAUCUCAGGAUGAAAGCAGGGGACCCUCGGGCCUUGCGCUAUCAGAGCGGCCGAUGGCAGAUUAGGUAGUUGGUGGGAUAAAAGCUUACCAAGCCGACGAUCUGUAGCUGGUCUGAGAGGACGAUCAGCCACACUGGGACUGAGACACGGCCCAG
Molecule: ribosomal RNA, 334 nt
Filed under: uncultured bacterium
Lineage: Bacteria
Description: bacterial SSU rRNA
Rfam family: Bacterial small subunit ribosomal RNA
Source: RNAcentral